CCUCCAAGGCCCUCACAAAUGCAUUAUAACUGAAAAUAUAAACAUAACCAAAAAAAGACAGCAUACAACCAGCCCCGAGGACUCAGGCGCUGAGUUUCGCAUUUGAGAGGUUACCACAAAGGACAUCAAUUGGCAGAGCUAGACUCAAGCUACGGAAACUAAUAAGUCUGGCCUCAUGACUCAGCUUGCAACAAAAUAAAAUAGAUAUGACCAAAUGACAUUCUGAGUUAUAAGCCGGGCGUCAGGAAUUUUUCCCAUAAAAAUCCCCGGUUCGCAACUUAGAAAAGCCCAGGUGCCUCCUCUUUCCCUUCACCUCCUCAUCUCAAAUUAAAAAAGGCAAGAAAAUCCUGAACCACGGUUAGCUUGUUGAGUGAGAGUUUACCCAACCCAUAUAUACACCGAUGGGAGGGCAGGGGAAACAAAUAUAGAUAACUGAAGUAGAAAGGAAUUUACAUACCGAGCACGUCACCUGCAUAUAAAAAAAGCUUGCCCUCGGCCAACGCAGCAUUUCCAACAGCGUAUUCCUUCCUUCGACUUGGCCGUCUCCAAGUGGUAAAAGAGGAAAAAGCAAAUCAAUGCAACCCAGCAGCCGAUGUGCUACUGACACUGCCCCUUCCAGGGCUAUUUUAGUAGCGUAUUGUAGAAACCUCAGGCAACACAGCAGGAGAAAGCAAUGUUCCUCUUCUUCUUCUUCUUUUUCUAAAGAAAGGUUCAUCUUUCUUUAGUUAGAAAGAUAUAUACCAAAAGCUAGAGGGCAUCAAACAUGGUUCUUGUGAGUGUACC
RNAcentral lists this long non-coding RNA (783 nucleotides) under Elaeis guineensis (African oil palm). RNAcentral's name for it is "long non-coding RNA (EGUI_LNC006855)". The record is from RNAcentral. Lineage: Eukaryota; Viridiplantae; Streptophyta; Magnoliopsida; Arecales; Arecaceae.